Molecule: long non-coding RNA, 657 nt
Filed under: Salvia miltiorrhiza (redroot sage)
Lineage: Eukaryota; Viridiplantae; Streptophyta; Magnoliopsida; Lamiales; Lamiaceae
Description: long non-coding RNA (SMIL_LNC010813)
Source: RNAcentral
UUGAAACCGUCACACUAUUGAAAAGUGUAUAAUCAAAGGCUAGAUCUAGAUGGUCUGACCUGAAAGUAAAUAAACAAGUGUAUAAAAAGGAAUUAUAGGACAGCAACGAUAGGGUACAUUAAUUUAUUUUUUAAUUAAGAUAUAUUAAUUUAUAAUCAAAAUUUACAAUUUUAUUUAAGUAUAGUUAAUUAAAAACUAAUACAAAAAAUUAAAUGAAUUGCACUGUACAAACGUCCUAAACAGGAGGGUGGCUCUUAAUGUAAAGUUAUUAAUAUUAGCCAUUCUCACAAUACUGUUUAAAUAUAUUGUAAGCAAAAUCAUUUAUAAAUUAAAGUUAGUGUUAAAAAAAAAAAAAAAAUCGAGUGGAAUAAGCAAUUGCGACUGACCUUGACUCUCUCUCUCUCGUCUCACUAAUGAUUUAUUGAUUUAUGUCACAAAGUUUGCCCAAAAAGAAACAUUGCUUUUUAAAAUGGAAGCCUUUUGUAAAGUAAACCUUUUUCCUCUUUUUAGAAAGUAACCGUGUUUUUUUGGGGGAUUCACUCAACUCCAACAAUAAGUCGAAGAUCGUUUAUACAAGUCGAAGAUAGUUUACUUUGUAUAAUUGAUAAAUAUAUAAUUAAAUAUUUUUAUUUUUAAAAAUAGAAUUUUUCUAAUUCU